Gasterosteus aculeatus aculeatus (three-spined stickleback) is the source of this 416-nucleotide long non-coding RNA. The record is from Ensembl. NCBI's taxonomy places the organism in Eukaryota, Metazoa, Chordata, Actinopteri, Perciformes, Gasterosteidae.
AGCUGAUCUAUCCUUUUUGGCCCAGCAUAUCCCAUCAUGCAGUGCGGGCCAAUGAAGACACAAUUCAUUUCGCAGUCAAUUGACCAUGGAGACGGGUAUGCCAGCAGCGGGUGAUACAAAGAAAUGCACCAUGAAAUAGAGCCAGGAACGAACCGCUCUUUCUAUUAAGCUAAGGGGGAAGAACGAUGGCCUCUUCACCGGGGCCUAACAUUCUGGUGCCGCAGCUUGGAAGAUUGCAGGUAUCCAUGGUCAGGAGAGGGUGUGAGUGGGGAAACACACUGCUGCAAAUUGGCCAUGGAUUGUCCACAUGGAUGAGGUGACAAAGGCCUCCCACCCUGUCCUAAUUGCCUCCAUCCUUAUGGACAUACCGGAGCGCCCUGAACACCAGGGUCACCAUUGUGGCACCCCAUCCAUGU